ACUCCUACGGGAGGCAGCAGUGGGGAAUAUUGCACAAUGGGGGAAACCCUGAUGCAGCCAUGCCGCGUGUGUGAAGAAGGCCUUCGGUUGUAAAGCACUUUCAGUAGGGAGGAAGGUAGUGUAGUUAACACCUGCAUUAUUUGACGUUACCUACAGAAGAAGCACCGGCUAACUCCGUGCCAGCAGCCGCGGUAAUACGGAGGGUGCGAGCGUUAAUCGGAAUUACUGGGCGUAAAGCGCAUGCAGGCGGCCUGUUAAGUCAGAUGUGAAAGCCCGGGGCUUAACCUCGGAAUUGCAUUUGAAACUGGCAGGCUAGAGUCUUGUAGAGGGGUUAGAAUUUCAGGUGUAGCGGUGAAAUGCGUAGAGAUCUGAAGGAAUCCAGUGGCGAAGGCGGCCCCUGGACAAAGCUGACGCUCAGAUGCGAAAGCGUGGGACGCAAACAGGAUUAGAUACCCCGUGGUAGCGACUGA
This 470-nucleotide ribosomal RNA is filed under the name uncultured bacterium. Its description in RNAcentral is "bacterial SSU rRNA". It matches the Rfam family "Bacterial small subunit ribosomal RNA", at positions 335 to 798 of the family's 1533-position model. The record is from RNAcentral.